This 185-nucleotide non-coding RNA is filed under the name Cognatilysobacter lacus. RNAcentral's name for it is "Lysobacter lacus 6S / SsrS RNA". It matches the Rfam family "6S / SsrS RNA". Rfam says of the family: E. coli 6S RNA was the first non coding RNA to be sequenced, but its function was unknown until recently. It consists of 184 nucleotides that fold into an extended hairpin structure with a large single-stranded internal bulge. The 6S RNA specifically associates with RNA polymerase holoenzyme containing the sigma70 specificity factor. The record is from Rfam by way of RNAcentral. Lineage: Bacteria; Pseudomonadati; Pseudomonadota; Gammaproteobacteria; Lysobacterales; Lysobacteraceae.
CGUCCUCUGCUGUGUGCGACCGCGUGCCAAACAUUCGCCUUGGCCCUUAAAAACGACAUCGGGAAUGUGACCGUCAUCCGGAGUGCAUGCCCGCCUGCGAGCGGGAAGCCCGAAGGUGGCCGAGCGUUCCCACUUGAACCCCGGGUUCAAGGUCGUUUCGCACGCAUCGGCAUGGUGGAGGACUC